RNAcentral lists this transfer RNA (77 nucleotides) under Betaproteobacteria bacterium. RNAcentral describes it as "tRNA-OTHER". It matches the Rfam family "tRNA". From Rfam's summary of the family: Transfer RNA (tRNA) molecules are approximately 80 nucleotides in length. Their secondary structure includes four short double-helical elements and three loops (D, anti-codon, and T loops). The record is from RNAcentral. Lineage: Bacteria; Pseudomonadati; Pseudomonadota; Betaproteobacteria.
GGCAACUUAGCUCAGUUGGUUAGAGCAACGAAAUCAUAACCCCCAGGUUCGGGGUUCGAAUCCCUGAAUCGCCACCA